CAACACUUCUUUCGACCCGCUAACCGAGACCUAUGGGUCGUUAAAUUACGUCUCUAUCUUACUCACAUAACAUCGCAC
This 78-nucleotide non-coding RNA is filed under the name unclassified sequences. Its description in RNAcentral is "PhotoRC-II RNA". It matches the Rfam family "PhotoRC-II RNA". The record is from RNAcentral.